UACGGGGGGGGCAAGCGUUGUUCGGAAUUACUGGGCGUAAAGGGCUUGUAGGUGGCCAACUAAGUCAGACGUGAAAUCCCCCGGCUUAACCGGGGAACUGCGUCUGAUACUGGAUGGCUAGAGAUUGGGAGAGGGACGCGGAAUUCCAGGUGUAGCGGUGAAAUGCGUAGAUAUCUGGAGGAACACCGGUGGCGAAGGCGGCGUCCUGGACCAACACUGACACUGAAAAGCGAAAGCCAGGGGAGCAAACAGG
This 253-nucleotide ribosomal RNA is filed under the name uncultured bacterium. Its description in RNAcentral is "partial 16S ribosomal RNA". It matches the Rfam family "Bacterial small subunit ribosomal RNA", at positions 524 to 776 of the family's 1533-position model. The record is from RNAcentral.